This 75-nucleotide transfer RNA is filed under the name Limisphaerales bacterium. RNAcentral's name for it is "tRNA-Glu". It matches the Rfam family "tRNA". From Rfam's summary of the family: Transfer RNA (tRNA) molecules are approximately 80 nucleotides in length. Their secondary structure includes four short double-helical elements and three loops (D, anti-codon, and T loops). Lineage: Bacteria; Pseudomonadati; Verrucomicrobiota; Verrucomicrobiia; Limisphaerales. The record is from RNAcentral.
AGCGCAUUCGUCUAUCGGCUAGGACGUGGCCUUCUCAAGGCUGAAGGACGGGUUCGAUUCCCGUAUGCGCUACCA